RNAcentral lists this ribosomal RNA (253 nucleotides) under uncultured bacterium. Its description in RNAcentral is "partial 16S ribosomal RNA". It matches the Rfam family "Bacterial small subunit ribosomal RNA", at positions 524 to 776 of the family's 1533-position model. The record is from RNAcentral.
UACGUAGGUGGCAAGCGUUGUCCGGAUUUACUGGGCGUAAAGAGCGCGCAGGCGGUCGGCCAAGUCGAGUGUGAAAGCCCCCGGCUCAACUGGGGAGGGUCAUUCGAUACUGGUCGACUCGAAGGCAGGAGAGGGAAGCGGAAUUCCCGGUGUAGUGGUGAAAUGCGUAGGUAUCGGGAGGAACACCAGUGGCGAAGGCGGCUUCCUGGCCUGUUCUUGACGCUGAGGCGCGAAAGCUAGGGGAGCAAACGGG